GAUGAACGCUGGCGGCGUGCCUAACACAUGCAAGUCGAACGACCCCUUCGGGGGUAGUGGCGAACGAGUGAGUAACGCGUGGGAAUCUGCCCCGAACUCGGAGAUACCUAAUCGAAAGAUUAGUUAAUAUCCGAUAUUCUCGCAAGAGAAAAGAUUUAUCGGUUUGGGAGGAGCCUGCGUCCUAUCAGCUAGUUGGUGAGGUAAUGGCUCACCAAGGCAACGACAGGUAGCUGGACCGAGAGGUUGACCAGCCACGAUGGGACUGAGAUACGGCCCAUACACCUACGGGUGGCAGCAGUGAGGAAUAUUGGACAAUGGGGGAAACCCUGAUCCAGCCAUGCCGCGUGAGUGAUGAAGGCCUUCGGGUUGUAAAACUCUUUAAGUGGGGAAAAUAAUGAUUGUACCCACAGAAUAAGCCACGGCAAACUUCGUGCCAGCCGCCGCGGUAA
Molecule: ribosomal RNA, 449 nt
Filed under: uncultured bacterium
Lineage: Bacteria
Description: partial 16S ribosomal RNA
Rfam family: Bacterial small subunit ribosomal RNA
Source: RNAcentral